CGGACGGGUGAGUAACACGUGGAUAACCUGCCUAUAAGACUGGGAUAACUUCGGGAAACCGGAGCUAAUACCGGAUAAUAUAUUGAACCGCAUGGUUCAAUAGUGAAAGACGGUUUUGCUGUCACUUAUAGAUGGAUCCGCGCCGCAUUAGCUAGUUGGUAAGGUAACGGCUUACCAAGGCAACGAUGCGUAGCCGACCUGANAGGGUGAUCGGCCACACUGGAACUGAGACACGGUCCAGACUCCUACGGGAGGCAGCAGCC
RNAcentral lists this ribosomal RNA (263 nucleotides) under uncultured Staphylococcus sp. RNAcentral describes it as "partial 16S ribosomal RNA". It matches the Rfam family "Bacterial small subunit ribosomal RNA", at positions 99 to 355 of the family's 1533-position model. The record is from RNAcentral. Lineage: Bacteria; Bacillati; Bacillota; Bacilli; Caryophanales; Staphylococcaceae.